GACGAACGCUGGCGGCGUGCUUAACACAUGCAAGUCGAGCGGUAAGGCCCUUUCGGGGGUACACGAGCGGCGAACGGGUGAGUAACACGUGGGCGACCUGCCCUCAGCUCUGGGAUAAGCCCGGGAAACUGGGUCUAAUACUGGAUAUGACUCCAUGACGCAUGUUGUGGGGUGGAAAGCCUUGUGCGGCUGAGGAUGGGCCCGCGGCCUAUCAGCUUGUUGGGGGGUGAUGGCCUACCAAGGCGACGACGGGUAGCCGGCCUGAGAGGGCGACCGGCCAUACUGGGACUGAGACACGGCCCAGACUCCUACGGGAGGCAGCAGUGGGGAAUCUUGCGCAAUGGGCGAAAGCCUGACGCAGCGACGCCGCGUGAGGGAUGACGGCCU
Molecule: ribosomal RNA, 387 nt
Filed under: uncultured bacterium
Lineage: Bacteria
Description: bacterial SSU rRNA
Rfam family: Bacterial small subunit ribosomal RNA
Source: RNAcentral